This 695-nucleotide long non-coding RNA is filed under the name Calidris pygmaea (Spoon-billed sandpiper). Its description in RNAcentral is "lncRNA (ENSCPGG00000017251.1)". The record is from RNAcentral. Lineage: Eukaryota; Metazoa; Chordata; Aves; Charadriiformes; Scolopacidae.
GCCAAGCGCGGUGACACGAGCCUACAGCAGCAGCACAGCCCAGCUCUUCCUAAGCCACGGAUGGAGGGAUGGACCGUUGGCAUCUCUUUCAUGGUGACUGAAGCACUCUGAGCUAGAAGUGGGACCGAAAAAAAGGAGAAGAUUCAAUUCAAAUAGAGUUGGAAGAUGGAGGCCAGCAGAGAGAAAUGGAAGAGUCAACUUUUUAAACAGGAAAGAAAGAAGGCUAUAACCUAAAAACCCACAAAGCCUGAAGGACCUCCUGAGUCCUCUGCCAUCCUCUGCAGCAGGACACCCUCCAAACACAUCUGGACACUGGGAUACACCUGCCAUGCAGUGACUUAGACCAAAUACCCUUGAAAGCUUUCUCCACCUCGAUAGAACAUUUAUUCACAAAAGGUGCCAGCAACAAAAGAGUCAAUGUGAGAUUGCUGGAGAACACCCGUUAAUUGGUUUCAGAAGAUCUUCAAACAGGACUCGGAAACAAAUCAAACCGGUGUAAGGGAAAGAAGAGAUUUGGGGUCACAAUAUGGACCUUCGCCUUUCUCGGCUGGUAAAAACCAUAGUCCAUAUUUUCUUCUCAGCAAAAGUUUGGCUCUACACCAGCUUCAGCAAUCACAAAGACUAAUAUCUAAGAAAGACUGCAUUAAAAAUAUAAUGUAAAAAUAUGUCUCUAAUAAAAGGAAACAAGAAUUCCA